Long non-coding RNA from Zophobas morio, 1955 nucleotides. RefSeq lists it as uncharacterized. The record is from RefSeq and is a predicted model, not a curated record. The transcript is spliced from 3 exons. Lineage: Eukaryota; Metazoa; Arthropoda; Insecta; Coleoptera; Tenebrionidae.
UCGCUCGGCGUUUAAUCGUCCCUACUCCGUCACAUAGAGUAUCAGUUAAACUCCUAAUAAAAUAAAUAUCUGUUUUCUUCCUUUUUAGUCGAUGCUAUUUGAAGAGAUAUUAAAGUUUCUGUCUCUGUCAUAAAUAGAUAAAUUAAUUCAUAGAAUAAUCAGAUGCCCACAUUAUUAUAUAAAAUUUAUUUUCAUCUCCCGCCUCCAAAUUCAAGAAAUUCAAAUACGUUUUACAGUGUGUUUGCUAGAACUAACAUAUGUAAUAAUUGUGUACCUAUAUGUAUUAUCGUAUAAAUUUUAUGUGAGAAUUGUACGAUGAAAUUUGAAGCAAAGUAGAUAUUUUUGAUAUGAAUAUGGUUCAGUUUACUGAAAAUUGUUAAACAUGUUUGUUUGAAUCCUACUAUGUACAACUUGUUCGUUAUAUAAAUAUACAUUACUAUUAUGAUUAUUAUUAUUUUCGCCUUAUUUUGGUACAAAAAUUUCAUUUGAUUCCACACCGCAACUUAAUGGAUGUCUCAGAGGAGGAAGUAAUACACUUUUCUGUGAGGUAUAUAAAUUAGACGGUCUUGAAAAUGACUGUUUUCUGUCAAGUCUCGUUCAUUAGUAUUACCGACGUUAACCUGAACCUGUUGUAUUUGAUCUGUUUUUAGUCAUUAGGCUUGUUUCUUGUUUUAUAAACUUUCAUUGACUCUCCGACAAAAUGUAGAAGUGGACGCCUAUGUACUGAUAAGUCAUUGCAAUAAUGAUUAUUGUUUGUUUUAUAGUAUCUCUACUUAAUAAAAUCAUUGUUUGAAAAUAUAUUCUGGCGUUGAACAUUGUUAUUGGGGUUAAGUCUUACGAUUCCGGGAACCCCCUAGUGCGCUGCAUUCUAUAAAAUAUGUUAAAAAUGGAUGAAAAGGAAUAUAACCAGUGUCUUAAAACCCAUGGAUACAUGUUAAGUGAAGAAGAAAGUGACAAUGAAUGUAAAUCCCAGUUAGAUGCAAUUUACGAACGGUAUAAACCUCCACCUAUUGAAAUUGAUGCUAAGAAACAUCAUAUUAUUGAAAUUGGGUACAGCAAAAAAGAUAAUAACAACGAAAAAUUAACAAAAAGCCAGAAAAAAAGAAAAAGGAGAAAGAAAAGUGGAAAUGGGGAAAUUACAAAAAGUGCAUCAGGUGAUAAAACUAACAAUAGUAUUGCAACUGAUAACACAAUCGGUGAUAAUUUUAUUCAUGGGGCGACCACCAAUAAUCCCGCUACAAAUAAAUUAAAAGUGAAACAGCAGAAAACAGCAAAAAGUAAUUUGGUCAUAGUUGAACAACAAGAUAUUGAAAUAUCCGUUCCAACUAAUGCAGAAUUGAUUGAAAUUAAUAAUGAACUACAUUCAAAAGAUAAAAAUACAAAAGGAAAAGCAAUUAGAAGUACUCAAAGUGUUUCAGCAUUAUUCUAUGAUGCAACUGAUUUUUUGUGUCGGGUUGAACAGACAUAUGCAGACGCCUUAAAAAGCCCCAAAGUAGAGAAAAUUGAAGCCCCUGCUUUACAAGUAAUAAAUCAUGCAGGACAUCUAUACAGCACUGAAGGUUUAACGAAAAAAGAAAAACAAUACUUGAGAAAAUCAUUAUGGAAGAUUUGCCGAAAAAGCGUAGUUUUUGAUGGUACAAGUGAAGAUUUUUGGGAUCAGGAUAAUCAAAAGCCUCGGACAUUUGGUGAUUUUAUUAAUUUUAAGUUUUAGUAAUUUUAACUAAGUAAAUGUCAUCAGUUUUUUCACUUCAAUAACAGGAUUCAUAAGAUAAGAUAAACGUUUGCUUUUUUUUGUUAAGUAUGGGUAACAUACAUAGAAAUAAUGUGGCAAAACCAAAAAGAUUUGAUAUAAAGAUAAUGUUAAAUGGGAUGUGUUUAAAUGAGUGCCUUAAAAUGUAUUAGUAUAAUUUUAAAUAAUUUGUAGUAUGUAGGGAUAAUGUACAGAAUUAACUUUU